RNAcentral lists this ribosomal RNA (1420 nucleotides) under human gut metagenome. RNAcentral describes it as "bacterial LSU rRNA". It matches the Rfam family "Bacterial large subunit ribosomal RNA", at positions 535 to 1984 of the family's 2925-position model. The record is from RNAcentral.
GGAGUGAAAGAGAACCUGAAACCCUGUGUCUACAAGCUGUGGGACCUCUUUAUAUGAGGGACUGCGUACUUUUUGUAGAACGGUCCGGCGAGUUGUGCGUACUGGCGAGGUUAAGGACUUAAGGUCUGGAGCCGAAGUGAAAGCAAGCGUUAAGAGCGCGUCAAGUCAGUGGGGGCAGACCCGAAACCGGGUGAUCUAUCCAUGUCCAGGUUGAAGCUGCCGUAAGAGGCAGUGGAGGACCGAACCCACAUCCGUUGAAAAGGGUGGGGAUGAGGUGUGGAUAGCGGAGAAAUUCCAAUCGAACCCGGAGAUAGCUGGUUCUCCUCGAAAUAGCUUUAGGGCUAGCCUCAUGAGAGUCUUAUGGAGGUAGAGCACUGAAUUGCCUAGGGGGCGUCAAAGCUUACCAAAGAAUAUCAAACUCCGAAUGCCAUCAAGAUGAUUCAUGGGAGUCAGACCAUACGAGAUAAGUUGGAUGGUCAAAAGGGAAAGAGCCCAGACCUACAGCUAAGGUCCCAAAGUACGUGUUAAGUGGAAAAGGAUGUGGGGAUUCUAAGACAACUAGGACGUUGGCUCAGAAGCAGCCAUUCAUUCAAAGAGUGCGUAAUAGCUCACUAGUCGAGAGUCCCUGCGCCGAAAAUGUCCGGGGCUGAAACACGACACCGAAGCUUAGGAAUGUGUAAACAUUGGUAGAGGAGCAUUGUUAGCGGGAUGAAGCCAUACCGUAAGGAGUGGUGGACUGCUAAGAAGAGAGAAUGCCGGAAUGAGUAGCGAGAUGAAGGUGAGAAUCCUUCAGGCCGAAUAUCUAAGGUUUCCAGAGUAAAGCUGAUCUGCUCUGGGUAAGUCGGGACCUAAGGCGAGGUCGAAAGACGUAGUCGAUGGAUAACAGGUUGAAAUUCCUGUACCGCAUAUAAACAGAACUGUGGGGACACAGACAGGGAAUGGAAUCCGGGAAUGGAUAUCCCGGUGCAAGCGAGGUAGGAGUGCUGUUGGCAAAUCCGCAGCACGAUCUGAAGACGUGACGCGUACCGAACAUAAGUAGGGAAGUCCAGGCCCCUGGCUGUCAAGAAAAGCCGCUAUCGUUUUAUAUGUGCCCGUACCGCAAACCGACACAGGUGGAUGAGGAGAGAAUCCUAAGGCCGACGGGAGAAGUAUUGUUAAGGAACUCGGCAAAAUGACUCCGUAACUUCGGGAGAAGGAGUGCCAUGAGAGUGGCCGCAGAGAAAUGGCCCAAGCAACUGUUUAGCAAAAACACAGGUCUAUGCAAAACCGCAAGGUGAAGUAUAUGGGCUGACGCCUGCCCGGUGCUGGAAGGUUAAGGGGAGAGGUUAGCGCAAGCGAAGCUUUGAACUUAAGCCCCAGUAAACGGCGGCCGUAACUAUAACGGUCCUAAGGUAGCGAAAUUCCUUGUCGGGUAAGUUCC